Molecule: ribosomal RNA, 505 nt
Filed under: uncultured bacterium
Lineage: Bacteria
Description: partial 16S ribosomal RNA
Rfam family: Bacterial small subunit ribosomal RNA
Source: RNAcentral
GACGAACGCUGGCGGCGUGCCUAAUACACGCAAGUAGAACGCACAGUUUAUACCGUAGCUUGCUACACCAUAAACUGUGAGUUGCGAACGGGUGAGUAACGCGUAGGUAACCUGCCUGGUAGCGGGGGAUAACUAUUGGAAACGAUAGCUAAUACCGCAUAAUAUUGAUUAUUGCAUGAUAAUUGAUUGAAAGAUGCUAUUGCAUCACUACCAGAUGGACCUGCGUUGUAUUAGCUAGUAGGUGAGGUAACGGCUCACCUAGGCGACGAUACAUAGCCGACCUGAGAGGGUGAUCGGCCACACUGGGACUGAGACACGGCCCAGACUCCUACGGGAGGCAGCAGUAGGGAAUCUUCGGCAAUGGACGAAAGUCUGACCGAGCAACGCCGCGUGAGUGAAGAAGGUUUUCGGAUCGUAAAGCUCUGUUGUAAGAGAAGAACGGGUGUGAGAGUGGAAAGUUCACACUGUGACGGUAUCUUACCAGAAAGGGACGGCUAACUACGUG